GGGUGGCGAGCGUUAUUCGGAUUAUUGGGCGUAAAGGUUCCGCCGGUGGCCGAUUAAGUUUGAUGUGAAAGCCUAUGGCUCAACCAUAGAAUUGCAUUGGAAACUGAACGGCUAGAGUAUUGGAGAGGUAAGCGGAAUUUCUGGUGUAGCGGUGGAAUGCGUAGAUAUCAGAAAGAACACCGAAAGCGAAGGCAGCUUACUGGACAAUAACUGACACUCAUGGACGAAAGCGUGGGGAGCAAACAGGAUUAGAUACCCUGGUAGUCCACGCCGUAAACGUUGUCAACUUGUUGUGGGGGGAAUUAGCCCCCUCCGUGACGCAGCUAACGCGUUAAGUUGACCGCCUGGGGACUACGGCCGCAAGGCUAAAACUCAAAGGAAUUGACGGGGACCCGCACAAGCGGUGGAGCAUGUGGCUUAAUUCGAGGCAACGCGAAGAACCUUACCUGGACUUGACAUAUAUUUGAUCGCCAUUGAAAGAUGGUUUUCCUUCGGGACAGAUAUACAGGUGCUGCAUGGCUGUCGUCAGCUCGUGCUGUGAAGUGUUCGGUUAAGUCCGGCAACGAGCGCAACCCACGUCGUUAGUUACCAUCAAGUAAUGUUGGGGACUCUAACGAGACUGCCUGUGUUAAGCAGGAGGAAGGCGUGGAUGACGUCAAGUCAGUAUGGCCCUUAUGUCCAGGGCUGCACACGUGCUACAAUGGCUACUACAGAGGGAAGCGAAGCCGCGAGGUAGAGCAAAUCCGUAAAAGUAGUCUAAGUUCGGAUUGGAGUCUGCAACUCGACUCCAUGAAGUCGGAAUCGCUAGUAAAGGCGUAUCAGCAUUGACGCCUUGAAUACGUUCCCGGGUCUUGUACACACCGCCCGUCACAUCAUGGAAGUUGAUUGCACCCGAAGUCGUUGACCCAACUCAAUUUGAGAGGGAGGCGCCUAAGGUGUGGUUAGUAACUGGGAUG
RNAcentral lists this ribosomal RNA (956 nucleotides) under uncultured bacterium. Its description in RNAcentral is "bacterial SSU rRNA". It matches the Rfam family "Bacterial small subunit ribosomal RNA", at positions 529 to 1482 of the family's 1533-position model. The record is from RNAcentral.